RNAcentral lists this ribosomal RNA (304 nucleotides) under uncultured bacterium. Its description in RNAcentral is "partial 16S ribosomal RNA". It matches the Rfam family "Bacterial small subunit ribosomal RNA", at positions 506 to 809 of the family's 1533-position model. The record is from RNAcentral.
CAGCAGCAGCCGCGGUAAAACGGAGGGGGCUAGCGUUGUUCGGAAUUACUGGGCGUAAAGCGCACGUAGGCGGCUUGGUAAGUUAGAGGUGAAAGCCUGGAGCUCAACUCCAGAAUUGCCUUUAAGACUGCCGAGCUAGCAGGUGAGAGAGGUAAGUGGAAUUCCGAGUGUAGAGGUGAAAUUCGUAGAUAUUCGGAAGAACACCAGUGGCGAAGGCGGCUUACUGGCUCAUACUGGACGCUGAGGUGCGAAAGCGUGGGGAGCAAACAGGAUUAGAUACCCGUGUAGUCCCUGUCUCUUAUAA